ACUCCGUUGGUGAACCAGCCGAGGGAUCAUUACAGAGUUGCAAAACUCCCAAACCAUUGUGAACGUUACCUAUCCCGUUGCUUCGGCGGGCGGCCCGGGCCCCGCGCCCGGCGCCCCCCGGCCCCCCGUGGGCGCCCGCCGGAGGUAAACCAAACCCUUGAAUUGCAUGGCCUCUCUGAGUCUUCUGUACUGAAUAAGUCAAAACUUUCAACAACGGAUCUCUUGGUUCUG
This 231-nucleotide unclassified non-coding RNA is filed under the name plant metagenome. RNAcentral describes it as "partial contains small subunit ribosomal RNA, internal transcribed spacer 1, and 5.8S ribosomal RNA". The record is from RNAcentral.